CGCCAGUGGAGGAGCUGGAGGCUAAGGUUUCCGCUCAGGAGGAGCGCGUCAUGCGGCUGGAAGAGUUGGAGCCUAAGGUUUCUGCUCAACAGGAGUUGGAGAAACGCGUCGCGUGGCUUGAGGAGCAGGUUUCCGCUCAGCUGGCGAUGUUUUCGACGCCACCAGUCGCCAUGCAAGUGCAAGUCACCACCGUUCCUGCUCCAUCCGAUCCGCAGCUCCCUGCUUCCAGCUCAGAUGAGCUUCCGCAGCUUCCGGUGCGCUGCCUGGAGCAGCUCCGAAAUUUGGAAGCAGCAUCACCACAGUGUUUCCCACAUGUGCUAGAGUACAUGCUGUCUAAAAGAAAACGCGGCCCCACAUUGAAAGGAGACAAAGUUUUGAAAAAAAUAGUUGAUUUCUAUUUUGAUCGGCAAUUUUUAAAUACAUGUGUUUGGGUGAAGCCGAGAGCGAAAAGACCCAUUGUGUUAUCGAAGUAUACAAACACCUUACGAGUGCUGCAUAAGGUAACGCAGCAUUACGACGAUAACUAUGAGUAUAAGGAGUUUCAAAGAAAAAUGUCCGCCUACGUGAAACACUCGCAGUUUAGAUGCAAAACCGAACCUCGACGAUUUACGUAACAACAACUACAGUCCAAUACACCCAACAACUGAAGGUGCCUUCCCUAACACGUAGACACAGAGAGUUUCUGAUGUGGCUGGAACUGUGGAUGCCUCACUCUUGGACUGCCAGUACGUACUAGUAUUCUGAACGAGAUCAGCCCCAGUGCCGAUCGUGAACAUGCCGUUACGCCCAGGGAAUCAGCUAAACAUGUCGUAUGGUGGAAGCGUGAUCCUGCGGCAGGAGGUCGGGCAAAAGCAAGAGGUUUAUGAGCGAGGGAUCAUCCCUCAGGUUUUCUUCACCAAUGCGUCGUAGAAGGGCGAGCUUGCGAACGGAUUAAGCAUGAUUAUGUCAUCCAGAAACACCAGCAAAAUAGGAUCAUCUCGAAGCGCGUUCCAUAGAUUGGAGCAGCAGCCCAUCGUAGAGGACACCCUAAGCGUUAGCGUUUCGCUUCUACUUCGAGACUGCUUCGCUAUGCUGGCGUAAUUAUGGUCGCUAGCAGGAUUACGUCCAGAUGCAACACAGAGGCUAAGCUCAAACGAUUAACGAGAAACCUUGUAUUGUUUAGUGCAGUCAUUUGAAGGUAACGAUACGAUAAGGACUUGGAUUGUGAUAAAAUAAUUUUGCCCAAUAGUGGGUACUAGGGGAACAACGAUAGCAAACAAUAGCGCAUAGACUAAGAAUUCGACUUUAGUUACAUCGAAGGUAAUGCAGGAUGGAUGCGUCUACCGCCGUCAAAAACUGACCGUAUAAAAAAAAGAACAGAAAACUAGCAAUACUACUUUGAGCGCAUUACAUGGGACCAGCAACUUUAUGUUAGCAAUCAAGCACUAUUUUUUUAUGCUAUGGAGUAAACUAACACUCUUAAAGUGCGCCCUGAAUUCCAGAUGAUCAAGUAUAGCCAUAUUUUCGAUUCUUAGCUGAAACGCUGGACAGCCACAUGUUGUAGUUACUACGUUGUAGUUAGUUAGGAAAAUAGUUCUUUGCUUGGAAUGUUUUUUGCUAAAUAAGUUUCACUUUCACUGUAGUAAAUAUUGUUCAUUUUUCUUAGUAAAAUAAUUAUUGGUUUGCUAUUCAUUUUUAAGUAACGCUGCUUCAACCGUUCGUUUGCUGUACGUUAUAGUUUCCGCUGCCAUUC
Long non-coding RNA from Anopheles bellator, 1732 nucleotides. RefSeq lists it as uncharacterized. Lineage: Eukaryota; Metazoa; Arthropoda; Insecta; Diptera; Culicidae. The record is from RefSeq and is a predicted model, not a curated record. The transcript is spliced from 3 exons.